This is an RNA transcript of Erinaceus europaeus (western European hedgehog), 6248 nucleotides long. It is a transcript of the gene named tRNA-yW synthesizing protein 3 homolog, with no coding region annotated. NCBI's taxonomy places the organism in Eukaryota, Metazoa, Chordata, Mammalia, Eulipotyphla, Erinaceidae. The record is from RefSeq and is a predicted model, not a curated record. The transcript has 3 exons.
UGAUUGCUCUUGAAGCUUCUUCUUAAGUUAAGGCUCAUUGAGUUCUUUUCUUUAAAAAGUACGUAAAAGCUUUCUGAGCUUCAGUAUGAUUGAAACUGUUAAAUUUAUUGGAUUCUACCUACUUUUCUGAAAGAUAGAAAACCUUUAGAAAUGAUUUUAUAUGUGAGGUGAUCUAUUUAAUCUGUGUUUAGCUAAAUUACAUCAAAAUACAGGCCAAAUGUUGCAGUGACAUUAAACUGUUGAAACUCUGCCCUGACUAGGGCUUUUCUUCAGUUAUCCUCAUUGUCUCUGAUAAUAGGUCUUCAUGCUUAAUCCUCUGUCCCAUAUAGGCUGUCCGGAGCACACAUGGCUUGGAAGUUCCACUAAGCCAUAAAGGGAAAUUGAUGGUGACAGAAGAAUAUAUCGACUUUGUGUUAAAUAUAGCAAAUCAAAAAAUGGAGGAAAACAAAAAGAGAAUCGAAAGGUCCCCUAACAAGGGUAAUUGGGCCUCCAGGGAGUUUUUCCAAACCUCUCAGUUAAAUCUGCCAAUGGUAAGGAUGCUCAGGCCUUGAAGGUAAGCGGAACCAUUCCUGUUUUAUCCUGAACCCAAGGGUCAAACAGGCCUAAGGGAAAUGGUUUGGAACUGUCAUCUAACAUUAUCACCAACAUGUACUGUAUUUCCAAGCAGCCUGCAAAGGGAGCCAGCAGCAUGCAUACAUGGCCCUGAACUGCAGGGUGGUAGCAUGUCACAUGUCUGGUAACAGAAGGGGAUAACCAUCCCCUACAAACUUGACAUAUAUAAAUUGAUUACAUAAGUGGGCAGUGGUGGUCCUUUCAAGUACACUCCUUUUGUUUGAGCUUUACAGUAAAAUUACCAGCAGCAGUUUACAAUUAAGGGGAAUAAUAAUAACUGAAUAUGCUUUCAUCUACACAUACAAUUACAAUGAACUGCAUGCCUUAAUAGGAUUGUGAAAAAUCUGCGUUUGACCCAUACAAAAAAGUAAACAUUCUUGUUCUGGAUACUAUAUCAUUAUCACAACAAAGGGAAACUCCUGAAAUCUGAUGAUUUAAACAUCUGGAGAAUGUUAAUCACUUCAAAAUGACGGAUGUUUUUUAUUUCAGCUUUUGACAGACACACUCCUUUCAUAGAUAGAUGAUUAUUUACAUAAAUUACAUCAUCAAUGUGAAAGAAAUCAGAAUAACUUCAAAGGAUAAAAUGCUUAAUUAAAAAGAGACUUGUAUUUCUAUUUUUCUCCCUUUCUCUGUGCUUGCCUUUAAAGGAGGAGGAAAAUACCCACUCACUUGGCAAAGCCAAGAGUUCUUUUUGUAAGUGAAUAUUUAAUAAAGGAAUUAUCUUUCUGAAUUGCUAUGUGUAGAGACAAUCACCUUUAAGAAUAAAGUACUUUGGUUUUACUGUCCCAAAAACCUAUUAAUAGCUUUGAGUCCACUUCUAACUUCCCCUUUCAGUAAAAAUGAGAGUUUGGCGUUCACUCCAUGACUCUAGUGGAUGAAACUGAUUUAAGCUCAAGUUCAAGUCUGAGACUCAUUCAGAGGUGCCACUCAAGACUAAUCAGCAUUAGUAGAUGGAGUGAAAUAUCGUUAAAAAUAUAUUGUAUUGGGGGUUAAUGGUUUACCAUACAAUUGUUGACAUGGGUACAAGAAAAUAACUUGUAAAGCAACUAAGUUCUGCUUUCAUUGUAGAUGGGGGCUCAGGGAAGAAAAUUCAUGAGCAGUCUUAAGAAAACGAUUUGAAAACUGUUCUUCCGGGACUGGCCCCAGGCUUCUGGUGGCUGCAGUCCCUCAGGGCAAGCCUCUGACUGGCGGCGUGCUGCCUGAUGCUGGUGGGUAGAGCUGGUGCAAUUUGGCUGAUCCACUACAAUUUCCUCCUACACUCUGAGCUGAUCUGCAGGCUGACCUUAGACAAUUUGUCUUCUUUCAGGGAGAAAUGUCACCCGAAAGGAAGCUAUUAAGUCAAGAAGGCAAUUCUUUCAGAACAGUCCACUGUAUAAACAGAACUUGACCUCAGUUCUCUCUCUCCAUCUCUAGGUCGAUCUAAUUCACUACCCAGCUCUACAAGGGGCCUGCAGUCUGGAGACCACCCACAGCUGACAAGUGGAAAAGUGUUGAAAACCUGUCAACUACAGCUGACACAGAGACCAUCAGGAUAGAUUCUAACAUUGCGAACGUUUUUCUGAAAAAUUUCCCCAGAGCUCUGUCCAUUGUUGAUAUCUAAGACCUAAAAAGUAGUAAGUUGUACUUUAUUUCUUGACUGACACUGAUUUUUGAAAUGUUGGUAUUAAAGCCUAGGACUCUAGAAUCUCCAUUUAUCCAGUCUAAAAAAUCGGGCUAAUACCAUAACAGAAUUUCCCUGUACAAACAGCAGUGUCUUUCUUGAAUGCAUGAAGUGCUUUGAGAUCCUCAUAGGAAAAUUCUAAAAGAGGAAUUUGGAGAGUAUAAUGAUGUUUUUCUAAAUUGAAACUGACAACCAGCAUUUAGUGGGGGAAUCAGAAGACAGAACUGAGGGCAGGCAGCCUUAUAUUCAUUACAACAGAUGGUUUAGUUUUCACUGAAUGAUGAGGAAGAAACUGAGUGAAUGAACUGUGGUAUGUUCUUAAAGGAUUCAGCAGCCAUCCAAUUAUUUUGGAACAAUCCAGCUUGCACUGGUCUGUAUUAUACAAAAUAAAGCAUCCCUGUUGAGUUUGACUUCAGCUGACUGAAGUCAUAAGGUACAAUGUUCUGUUAUUAAACAACAUUGGUAUAAUUACUACUGGCAAAGCUUUUAAAAAAACAAAAUUUCAUUCAAAUUCCUAGCACAAAUAUAAAUCACAUAAGUUACAUAGCAAAUUCUGUAACAGAUGCCUUUUUAGAAAAAAAAUAAUGAAUGAUUUUUAUGCUUUCUUUCUUCAUUUGCUCUCUCAUCUCUUCUCCACCUCUGCUUUUCUUUCCUUUAUAAAAAGUUUUAACAAAAAUUUCAUAUGAAGUAUGAACCAUGCAGGAAAGUACAGAACAUAAUAUAAGAUCUGUGUUUUCUACAACCAAGAUUAAGCAGAUGUUAAUUUUUUUUUCAAUUCCCAUUUGAUAUUGUUCUCUUUUAUAUACUUAGUAUGUUACAUAGAUACAUUACAGCCUUUCAUCCUUUUCCCCUCCCCCUUGCUCAGAAGUCAGAAUCAUACCCAAAAUGGUUGUAUCACCAUUGCACAUAUUAAUGUGCUUUCACUGUAUCAGACUGAGUUUCUGAACAUUAUGUACUAUGAUUUCAUUGGACAAUUUUCAUACAUGUCUGCUGUAUUUAUUUGUUUGCAACUUUCAAAUUGAUAUGCUUUAAAGAUUUACUCACAUUGAUACAUUUAGAUUUAAUGUGUUCAAUUUAAAAUCAUGUUAGCACUCCCUUACUUACAUUUAAUCCAUUUUCCAUCUCGAAGAACCAGCUUACUCUUCAGUAACUGCUAGACUGGCCUUGUUUGGCAGAAUGAUGGCAGGUCUUUUUCUUUGUCUUUUUUCCCCCUCCUUAAUGAAGUAUUUUCACUCACAUACAUGUACAAAAUAUAUACAUAUUAUACAUAUAAUUCCUGGUGAUGGGUUUUUGAUUGGCUUGUUUGGGUUUUUACUAUUACCAACAGUGCUAUAAUAAAUAUGUACAUGUAGCUUUUAGCACAUAUACAUUUUACUAAAGGAGAAAAUUAGGAAUCAAAUUGCUAGGUUUUAUGAACUUACCACCUUUGUGAUCUUUGACCUUAUCAGUUACUGCUAAAUUUCUCUUGGAAUAUUACUAUAACAGUUUAUGCUACCAUUCACAAUAAAUAAGAUUCACUAUAUCCUCACACUAUUACUAGUCCUUGAUGUUAUCCAAUUAAUUAUAUUUGCCAAUCUAAUUGUGAAAUUAUAUCUGAGGUUUUAAUUUUUUAUUUCCUUCAUUACUGAUGCUGAGAAUAGUUUUUAUAUUUUAUUGGUUAUUUGCAUUCCUAUAAAAUGUCUGCUCAUAGUUUUUACCUAUUUCUUUUUUGACUUGUGUGUCAUUGUUUUCUAAUUAAUCCUUAAAAUAUAGAUUUCAGGACAUAUCGGUGUUUUAAUUUUAUUUAUAAUUUUUGAAUGAAAAUUGCUUUUCCUUUGAAGUGUUCAGAUUCAGCUAUAUUUCAUGUUUCUUGUCCUGUUAAAAAAUACAUCUUUUGAAAAUGCCAGAAUGGUAUUCUGUGAUAUUUUCUUUAAGAAAAUGGAUAGUUUUGUAUUUACUGUACCAGAGUAAAGGAUUAUGGGACAGACCCUGGAACAGGAUGGCAGAGAAGGACCUAGAUGGCAGACUUUAGUGUUAUAUGGAAAAAUGAGAAAUGUUACACAUGUACCAAUUACUGUAUUUUACUGUUGACUGUAAACAAUUAUUUCACCCAAGAGAAAAAAGAAGUAUAAUUUUUCUUUCCAUAUCAUAACUUUUAUUUUUGUGUAAAACAUAACAUAGGGAUCUUUUUUGACUUGUCCUUGUAGUCAGUAUUGAAUGUUUACCCCUUCAUCCUAUUAUUUGCAAGUCUCUUUUUUCACAGAAGACUUAAAGCUUUUAUGAGGAGAUAGAGGCCUAAACUUCUAAACAUAUGUAAUCUUCUUUCUAAAGUUUAGAUCCUUACAAAUUUAUACUAAUACCUAAUGUUAAAUUUGAUAUGUGUCACAGUAAACAGAAAAAAGGCUCGCCAAAUAUUAGCAUGUCCUAAUCCCUGGAACCUGUGAAUAAAUUACCUGGUGUGGUAAAAGGAAGUUUGCAGAUAUAAUAAAACUAAGGACCUUGAUGGGAAAGAAUCUAAUUUAGUCAGGUGGGUCUUGUUUCUAUUAGUAAGUUUUUAAAAGGGAAACAAAUCUUCCCUGGAUGAAAACAGAGAGGGAGAAGUGACUGUAGAAAGUAGUUAAGAAAUUUGCAACAUUAUUGGUUUUGAAGAGGAAGGAAAGAGAUGCUGAAUCAGGAAUGCCAACAGCCUCUAGAAGUUGUAAAAGCAAAAAGCAAAAAAAAAAACAGACUCCUUCUGAACCUUCAGAAAUGAUACAGCUGACAUCGUGAUUUUAGCCUAAUUUAGCCCAAUGAGACCUGUUUGCUUUUAACCUACUAAAGUGCAAGAAAACAUGCCAUUAUGCGUAUGUUGAUUCAUUAUAACAACCAUUGAAAACUAAUACAAUGUAAGAGGGAUUCUCUAGCUAUUUUUCUUUUUUUUUUUAAAUUGAUCUUAUUUACUUUGUAUUAUAUAAAUUUAACAGAUUGUGUGAGCAAUGGAAUUUUGAUUAGAAUUAAGUUCUAUUCAAGUUGACAAAAAUGACCACUUAAAGAAAAAAACCUGUCUCCUUGUCUUUAAACAUGAAAUUAUUAAUUUUAUGUGUUGAGCUGACUGGACCACAUGGUAUCCCCAAAUUGGGUUAAACAUUCUUCUGGGUAUAUUUGUGUGAAUGACUUUGGAUAAGAUCAAUAUAAAUCAACUGAGCUGUAAACCACUAACUCCUCAACAAAAUAAUCUAAAAUCAACAUUUGAAUUGAUAAACUGAGUAAAUCAGAUUGUUCUUCUUGGUAUGAGUGGGCUUUGUUCAGUCACUGAAUAGAAGGCUGACCUGUAUUGAGAAAAGGAUAAUUCUUUCUAACCUGUCUUCAAUUGGAACACCAGGUUUAUUUUUUAUUUUUUAUUAGUGAUGUAAUAAUGAUUAACAAGAUUGUGGGAUAAGAAAGGUACAGUUCCAUACAAUUCCCACCACCAGAGUUCUGUAUCCCAUUCCCUCCUUGGAAGCUUCCUUUUCCCUAUCUUUUAUCCUUCUGAGUGUAUGGCCCAAAGAUCUUUAUGGAGUGCAGAAGGUGGGAGGUCUGGCUUUUGUAAUUGCUUCUCCGCUGGGCAUGAGCUUUCGCAGGUCAAGCCCAGCCUGGUUCGUAUCUUUCCCUAAUGGGGCAAGGCUCUGGGGAAGUGGGGUUCCAGGACACAUUGGUGAGAUUAUCUGCCCAGAGAAGUCAGGGUUGGCAUCAUGAUAGCAUCUGCAACUUGGUGGCUGAAAAGCACUAAGAUAUAAAUCAGAAAAAAUUGUUUAAUAAUCAGGAACCUAAAGGUAAGAAUAUAGCAGGAGAUUUGGGGUCUUCAUGUUGGAAGUAGCUAGAGGUCUAUUAUAGGUAUAUUCCAAAGGGCCCAUGACUUUACUAAUUUUUGCAUGGGCGUUACAGCUAACAUGCAGGUGGGCUAAAGGUAUUGUCUGGGAAGAUAAUAUCAGAGCUGGGGAUAGGACUAGAAAGCAACAGAAAAAAAAAAAAAGCAAAA